Molecule: long non-coding RNA, 209 nt
Organism: Ochotona princeps (American pika)
Lineage: Eukaryota; Metazoa; Chordata; Mammalia; Lagomorpha; Ochotonidae
Exons: 3
Source: RefSeq, a predicted model, not a curated record
AGACGGGAAAUUUCUGUGCAGUACAUUGAAAGCAGUGAGUCAGAGGAAAUUGAGAUAAACGAAUUGCCCCAGAAAAUGAAAGGAAAACUGAAAAAUACACAAUCAGAAACUAAAAGCAUAAGAGCAGGGACUUCUAAGGUCAAAGAAGAUGCAGCAUUCGCAUGUGCACUUGGUGUAUCUACUCCUGCACCGAAGAGGAAAAUGUUGAA